This 253-nucleotide ribosomal RNA is filed under the name uncultured bacterium. RNAcentral's name for it is "partial 16S ribosomal RNA". It matches the Rfam family "Bacterial small subunit ribosomal RNA", at positions 524 to 776 of the family's 1533-position model. The record is from RNAcentral.
UACGUAGGUGGCAAGCGUUGUCCGGAUUUAUUGGGUUUAAAGGGUGCGUAGGCGGUCUUCUAAGUCAGUUGUGAAAUACGGCAGCUUAACUGUCGAGGUGCAAUUGAUACUGGGAGACUUGAGUACUGAUGAGGUAGGCGGAAUGGACGGUGUAGCGGUGAAAUGCUUAGAUAUCGUCCAGAACACCGAUAGCGAAGGCAGCUUACUAAGGAGUAACUGACGCUGAGGCACGAAAGUGUGGGGAUCAAACAGG